GAUGAACGCUGGCGGCGUGCCUAAUACAUGCAAGUCGAGCGAACAGACGAGGAGCUUGCUCCUCUGACGUUAGCGGCGGACGGGUGAGUAACACGUGGAUAACCUACCUAUAAGACUGGGAUAACUUCGGGAAACCGGAGCUAAUACCGGAUAAUAUAUUGAACCGCAUGGUUCAAUAGUGAAAGACGGUUUUGCUGUCACUUAUAGAUGGAUCCGCGCCGCAUUAGCUAGUUGGUAAGGUAACGGCUUACCAAGGCAACGAUGCGUAGCCGACCUGAGAGGGUGAUCGGCCACACUGGAACUGAGACACAGUCCAGACUCCUACGGGAGGCAGCAGCAGGGAAUCUUCCGCAAUGGGCGAAAGCCUGACGGAGCAACGCCGCGUGAGUGAUGAAGGUCUUCGGAUCGUAAAACUCUGUUAUUAGGGAAGAACAAAUGUGUAAGUAACUAUGCACGUCUUGACGGUACCUAAUCAGAAAGCCACGGCUAACUACGUG
This 497-nucleotide ribosomal RNA is filed under the name uncultured bacterium. Its description in RNAcentral is "partial 16S ribosomal RNA". It matches the Rfam family "Bacterial small subunit ribosomal RNA", at positions 28 to 507 of the family's 1533-position model. The record is from RNAcentral.